This 447-nucleotide ribosomal RNA is filed under the name uncultured bacterium. Its description in RNAcentral is "SSU rRNA". It matches the Rfam family "Bacterial small subunit ribosomal RNA", at positions 26 to 518 of the family's 1533-position model. The record is from RNAcentral.
AGGAUGAACGCUGGCGGCGUGCCUAAUACAUGCAAGUCGAACGAGGUCUUCGGACCGAGUGGCGAACGGGUGAGUAACACGUUGGUACCUACCCCGAAGUGGGGAAUAACUGCCCGAAAGGGUGGCUAAUACCGCAUAAUACCGCAAGGUUAAAGCAGUAAUGCGCUUCGGGAGGGGCCUGCGUCCCAUUAGCUAGUUGGUAGGGUAAUGGCCUACCAAGGCGACGAUGGGUAGCUGGAUCGAGAGGUUGACCAGCCACACUGGGACUGAGAUACGGCCCAGACUCCUACGGGAGGCAGCAGUAAGGAAUCUUCCACAAUGGACGAAAGUCUGAUGGAGCAACGCCGCGUGCAGGAUGACGGCCUUCGGUGUAAACUGCUUUUAUAUGGGAAGAUUAUGACGGUACCAUAUGAAUAAGGACCGGACUAACUACGCGCCAGCAGCCGC